AGUGGGGAAUAUUGGGCAAUGGAGGGAACUCUGACCCAGCGACGCCGCGUGCGGGAUGAAGGCCUUCGGGUUGUAAACCGCUUUCAGCAAGGAAGAAGCGAAAGUGACGGUACUUGCAGAAGAAGCACCGGCUAACUAUGUGCCAGCAGCCGCGGUAAUACAUAGGGUGCAAGCGUUGUCCGGAAUUAUUGGGCGUAAAGAGCUCGUAGGUGGUUCGUCACGUCGGAUGUGAAAAUCUGGGGCUUAACCCCAGACCUGCAUUCGAUACGGGCGAGCUAGAGUGUGGUAGGGGAGACUGGAAUUCCUGGUGUAGCGGUGGAAUGCGCAGAUAUCAGGAGGAACACCAAUGGCGAAGGCAGGUCUCUGGGCCAUUACUGACACUGAGGAGCGAAAGCGUGGGGAGCGAACAGGAUUAGAUACCCUAGUAGUCCGGUCA
This 436-nucleotide ribosomal RNA is filed under the name actinobacterium SCGC AAA280-B16. Its description in RNAcentral is "bacterial SSU rRNA". It matches the Rfam family "Bacterial small subunit ribosomal RNA", at positions 353 to 801 of the family's 1533-position model. The record is from RNAcentral. Lineage: Bacteria; Bacillati; Actinomycetota; Actinomycetes.